UCCCAGACUCCUACGGGAGGCAGCAGUGGGGAAUAUUGCACAAUGGGGGAAACCCUGAUGCAGCGACGCCGCGCGAGUGAAGAAGUAUUUCGGUAUGUAAAGCUCUAUCAGCAGGGAAGAUAAUGACGGUACCUGACUAAGAAGCCCCGGCUAACUACGUGCCAGCAGCCGCGGUAAUACGUAGGGGGCAAGCGUUAUCCGGAUUUACUGGGUGUAAAGGGUGCGCAGGUGGCAGGGCAAGUCAGAUGUGAAAGCCCGGGGCUCAACCCCGGUAUUGCAUUUGAAACUGUCCGGCUAGAGUGCAGGAGAGGUAAGCGGAAUUCCUAGUGUAGCGGUGAAAUGCGUAGAUAUUAGGAGGAACACCAGUGGCGAAGGCGGCCUACUGGACUGUAACUGACACUGAGGCACGAAAGCGUGGGGAGCAAACAGGAUUAGAUACCCCUGUA
Molecule: ribosomal RNA, 446 nt
Filed under: uncultured bacterium
Lineage: Bacteria
Description: bacterial SSU rRNA
Rfam family: Bacterial small subunit ribosomal RNA
Source: RNAcentral